UACGGAGGGCGCAAGCGUUGUCCGGAAUUAUUGGGCGUAAAGAGCUCGUAGGCGGUUUGUCGCGUCUGCUGUGAAAACCUCAGGCUCAACCUGGGGCUUGCAGUGGGUACGGGCAGACUAGAGUGCGGUAGGGGUGACUGGAAUUCCUGGUGUAGCGGUGGAAUGCGCAGAUAUCAGGAGGAACACCGAUGGCGAAGGCAGGUCACUGGGCCGCAACUGACGCUGAGGAGCGAAAGCAUGGGGAGCGAACAGG
Molecule: ribosomal RNA, 253 nt
Filed under: uncultured bacterium
Lineage: Bacteria
Description: partial 16S ribosomal RNA
Rfam family: Bacterial small subunit ribosomal RNA
Source: RNAcentral